GUUGAAACAUUGGCUCUCAUAUGAUCAUUGAAGUUAAGCAACAUUGAGCCUGGUCAGUACCUAGAUGGGUAAUCAUUUGGGAAUACCAGGUGCU
Molecule: non-coding RNA, 94 nt
Organism: Acanthosepion pharaonis
Lineage: Eukaryota; Metazoa; Mollusca; Cephalopoda; Sepiida; Sepiidae
Source: the annotation of a GenBank genome assembly